GACGAAGGGUCCUAGCGUUGUUCGGAAUUACUGGGCGUAAAGCGCAGGUAGGUGGCUUUUCAAGUCGGGUGUGAAAUCCCACGGCUUAACCGUGGAACUGCAUUCGAUACUGUUAAGCUUGAAUAUGGGAGGGGAUGGUAGAAUUCCUGGUGUAGUGGUGAAAUACGUAGAUAUCAGGAGGAACAUCUGUGGCGAAGGCGGCCAUCUGGCCCAAUAUUGACACUGAGCUGCGAAAGCAUGGGGAUCAAACAGG
Molecule: ribosomal RNA, 253 nt
Filed under: uncultured bacterium
Lineage: Bacteria
Description: partial 16S ribosomal RNA
Rfam family: Bacterial small subunit ribosomal RNA
Source: RNAcentral